This 389-nucleotide ribosomal RNA is filed under the name Gammarus sp. GAHBH2. RNAcentral's name for it is "partial large subunit ribosomal RNA". The stretch from base 67 to 389 matches the Rfam family "Bacterial large subunit ribosomal RNA", at positions 2046 to 2620 of the family's 2925-position model. Lineage: Eukaryota; Metazoa; Arthropoda; Malacostraca; Amphipoda; Gammaridae. The record is from RNAcentral.
UUUAUUGAUAACUGGUAUGAAGGUUUAACUAGCUUAUUAAGUUUGUAAAAUUAAAUAAUAAAUUAAAGUUAAGGUAAGAAUUCUUUAAUUUCCUAGGGGACGAUAAGACCCUAGAAGCUUUAUAAAUAGGGUUCUUUUUGUUUUAGAGGUUUGUUUAUUUUACUGGGGCGGUAAAAAUAAUUAAGCUAUUUAUAGUUUGAGAGAUCCUUUAAAUAAAGAAAAAACGGAAAAGUUACUCUAGGGGUAACAGUGCAAUAUUUUUGGAUAGACCUUAUUGAUAAAUGUGUUUGCAACCUCGAUGUUGAAUUAAGAUGUCUUUAUGAAGCAGAAGGUAUAUAAGAAGGUUUGUUCAACCUUUAAAGUCUUACAUGAUCUGAGUUCAAACCGGA